AAAUGAAUUGACGGGGGCCCGCACAAGCGGAGGAACAUGUGGUUUAAUUCGAUGAUACGCGAGGAACCUUACCCGGGCUUGAAAUGGAGAGGAAUAUAGGUGAAAGCCGAUAGUCAGUAAUGACCUCUUUGUAGGUGCUGCAUGGUUGUCGUCAGCUCGUGCCGUGAGGUGUCGGCUUAAGUGCCAUAACGAGCGCAACCCUUAUCAUUAGUUACUAACAGGUCGAGCUGAGGACUCUAGUGAGACUGCCGCCGUAAGGUGUGAGGAAGGUGGGGAUGACGUCAAAUCAGCACGGCCCUUACGUCCGGGGCGACACACGUGUUACAAUGGGAAGUACAGAGGGUUGCUACCACGCGAGUGGAUGCUAAUCUCAUAAAACUUUUCUCAGUUCGGAUCGGAGUCUGCAACUCGACUUCGUGAAGCUGGAUUCGCUAGUAAUCGCGCAUCAGCCAUGGCGCGGUGAAUACGUUCCCGGGCCUUGUACACACCGCCCGU
This 495-nucleotide ribosomal RNA is filed under the name uncultured bacterium. RNAcentral's name for it is "bacterial SSU rRNA". It matches the Rfam family "Bacterial small subunit ribosomal RNA", at positions 903 to 1397 of the family's 1533-position model. The record is from RNAcentral.